This 301-nucleotide ribosomal RNA is filed under the name uncultured bacterium. RNAcentral describes it as "partial 16S ribosomal RNA". It matches the Rfam family "Bacterial small subunit ribosomal RNA", at positions 509 to 809 of the family's 1533-position model. The record is from RNAcentral.
CAGUCGCCGCGGUAAUACGUAGGGUGCAAGCGUUGUCCGGAAUUAUUGGGCGUAAAGAGCUCGUAGGCGGUCUGUUACGUCGGCUGUGAAAACCUGGGGCUCAACUCCGGGCCUGCAGCCGAUACGGGCAGACUAGAGUUCGGCAGGGGAGACUGGAAUUCCUGGUGUAGCGGUGAAAUGCGCAGAUAUCAGGAGGAACACCAGUGGCGAAGGCGGGUCUCUGGGCCGAAACUGACGCUGAGGAGCGAAAGCGUGGGGAGCAAACAGGAUUAGAUACCCCGGUAGUCCCUGUCUCUUAUAA